ACUAGCCUGAAACGCCUCAUGAUGACACAGGCUGAUAAGUUCACGGCUGAAGAGAUUGACCAGAUGUUCCAAUCUUCCCCUAUUGAUGCUGCGGGCAACUUGGAUUACAAGUCUUUCUGCUACACCAUCACACAUGGAGAUGAAAAGGAAGAAUGAAAAGCAUGCAUUUUAUUAGCUUCAGUAAAGUCUUGCAAUAAGUCAAUAAAUAAAAUUUGGAGUCUGAAUGGUCUUUUCUCACUGCCAAAAAAUCAUGGCCUAUUGGAACAGCA
This is a long non-coding RNA of Gavialis gangeticus (Gharial), 269 nucleotides long. RefSeq lists it as uncharacterized. Lineage: Eukaryota; Metazoa; Chordata; Crocodylia; Gavialidae. The transcript has 2 exons. The record is from RefSeq and is a predicted model, not a curated record.